Molecule: ribosomal RNA, 497 nt
Filed under: uncultured bacterium
Lineage: Bacteria
Description: partial 16S ribosomal RNA
Rfam family: Bacterial small subunit ribosomal RNA
Source: RNAcentral
GAUGAACGCUGGCGGCGUGCCUAAUACAUGCAAGUCGAGCGAACAGACGAGGAGCUUGCUCCUCUGACGUUAGCGGCGGACGGGUGAGUAACACGUGGAUAACCUACCUAUAAGACUGGGAUAACUUCGGGAAACCGGAGCUAAUACCGGAUAAUAUAUUGAACCGCAUGGUUCAAUAGUGAAAGACGGUUUUGCUGUCACUUAUAGAUGGAUCCGCGCCGCAUUAGCUAGUUGGUAAGGUAACGGCUUACCAAGGCAACGAUGCGUAGCCGACCUGAGAGGGUGAUCGGCCACACUGGAACUGAGACACGGUCCAGACUCCUACGGGAGGCAGCAGUAGGGAAUCUUCCGCAAUGGGCGAAAGCCUGACGGAGCAACGCCGCGCGAGAGAUGAAGGUCUUCGGAUCGUAAAACUCUGUUAUUAGGGAAGAACAAAUGUGUAAGUAACUAUGCACGUCUUGACGGUACCUAAUCAGAAAGCCACGGCUAACUACGUG